This 893-nucleotide ribosomal RNA is filed under the name Psychrobacter sp. Mor119. RNAcentral describes it as "bacterial SSU rRNA". It matches the Rfam family "Bacterial small subunit ribosomal RNA", at positions 60 to 948 of the family's 1533-position model. Lineage: Bacteria; Pseudomonadati; Pseudomonadota; Gammaproteobacteria; Moraxellales; Moraxellaceae. The record is from RNAcentral.
AGUCGAGCGGAACGAUGGGAGCUUGCUCCAGGCGUCGAGCGGCGGACGGGUGAGUAACACUUAGGAAUCUACCUAGUAGUGGGGGAUAGCUCGGGGAAACUCGAAUUAAUACCGCAUACGUCCUACGGGAGAAAGGGGGCAACUUGUUGCUCUCGCUAUUAGAUGAGCCUAAGUCGGAUUAGCUAGUUGGUGGGGUAAAGGCCUACCAAGGCGACGAUCUGUAGCUGGUCUGAGAGGAUGAUCAGCCACACCGGGACUGAGACACGGCCCGGACUCCUACGGGAGGCAGCAGUGGGGAAUAUUGGACAAUGGGGGCAACCCUGAUCCAGCCAUGCCGCGUGUGUGAAGAAGGCCUUUUGGUUGUAAAGCACUUUAAGCAGUGAAGAAGACCUAACGGUUAAUACCCGUUAGCGAUGACAUUAGCUGCAGAAUAAGCACCGGCUAACUCUGUGCCAGCAGCCGCGGUAAUACAGAGGGUGCAAGCGUUAAUCGGAAUUACUGGGCGUAAAGCGAGCGUAGGUGGCUUGAUAAGUCAGAUGUGAAAUCCCCGGGCUUAACCUGGGAACUGCAUCUGAUACUGUCAGGCUAGAAUAGGUGAGAGGAAGGUAGAAUUCCAGGUGUAGCGGUGAAAUGCGUAGAGAUCUGGAGGAAUACCGAUGGCGAAGGCAGCCUUCUGGCAUCAUAUUGACACUGAGGUUCGAAAGCGUGGGUAGCAAACAGGAUUAGAUACCCUGGUAGUCCACGCCGUANACGAUGUCUACUAGUCGUUGGGUCCCUUGAGGACUUAGUGACGCAGCUAACGCAAUAAGUAGACCGCCUGGGGAGUACGGCCGCAAGGUUAAAACUCAAAUGAAUUGACGGGGGCCCGCACAAGCGGUGGAGCAUGUGGUUUA